This 248-nucleotide long non-coding RNA is filed under the name Nicotiana benthamiana. Its description in RNAcentral is "long non-coding RNA (NBEN_LNC019315)". The record is from RNAcentral. Lineage: Eukaryota; Viridiplantae; Streptophyta; Magnoliopsida; Solanales; Solanaceae.
UAACAAUUGGUAUCAGAGCCUAACUCUCUGAAAGCCUUAACCGGUUGAGAGCGAUAUAUAUUUUUUUGUUGAGAAUAUUGAACGCAGGAAUAAUGACCGAAGGACACUCCACCGAGAGGCCUCCAUUUUUUUAUGGAAGAAAUUAUACAUAAUGGAAAGAGCGGAUGAGAAUCUUCAUCCAAUCAAAUAACUUUCGAUUAUGGCAAAUCAUCAAGAACGGUGAACAAAUGCCAACAAAGAAAGUUGGG